Non-coding RNA from Myotis brandtii (Brandt's bat), 76 nucleotides. NCBI's taxonomy places the organism in Eukaryota, Metazoa, Chordata, Mammalia, Chiroptera, Vespertilionidae. The record is from Rfam.
GAGACACCCUUAUGGGGCAGGACUUGCUUCAGUGAAGCUUUGUCGCUCACUGAGUCUGCCCCCUGAGUGUGUAUCU